This 332-nucleotide long non-coding RNA is filed under the name Mytilus galloprovincialis (Mediterranean mussel). Lineage: Eukaryota; Metazoa; Mollusca; Bivalvia; Mytilida; Mytilidae. The record is from RNAcentral.
CUUGUCGGCUUUCAACUCGUUGAUGGCUUUGAAAUAUUUUAACCUAUCUGUCUCGCUCAGUACUCUAAUUUCUCGCCUUUUUCUAAGUGGAUGUGAACGAUCUUGUAUUGCCUCUUUCCAUAGAGAUGUCAGCCAGUCUUGUUGUUUUUGAGAUAAUGUACAAUGAUAUUCAUUUGCAAGAGUUUCAUUGCAAGAAGGGAAAUGAAAUUCAGGCUCGUCUUUAUAUUUACACUUUGGAUCGUGUCCCUCGAGGGUUAGUUCUGAACGGACUAAUACGUUAAGUAAGAUAAAAAUCACAGAAGAUAAAACUAAUAUCAUUCUGACAGGUUUCA